CCUACGUGGGGCAGCAGUGAGGAAUAUUGGUCAAUGGGCGCGAGCCUGAACCAGCCAAGUAGCGUGAAGGAUGACUGCCCUACGGGUUGUAAACUUCUUUUAUAAAGGAAUAAAGUGAGGCACGUGUGCCUUUUUGUAUGUACUUUAUGAAUAAGGAUCGGCUAACUCCGUUCCAGCAGCCGCGGUAAUACGGAGGAUCCGAGCGUUAUCCGGAUUUAUUGGGUUUAAAGGGCGCGUAGAUGGGUUUUUAAGUCAGUUGUGAAAGUUUGCGGCUCAACCGUAAAAUUGCAAUUGUUACUGGCAGUCUUGAGUACAGUUGAGGUAGGCGGAAUUCGUGGUGUAGCGGUGAAAUGCUUAGAUAUCACGAAGAACUCCGAUUGCGAAGGCAGCUUACUAAACUGCCACUGACAUUGAUGCUCGAAAGUGUGGGUAUCAAACAGGAUUAGAUACCCUGGUAGUC
RNAcentral lists this ribosomal RNA (460 nucleotides) under uncultured bacterium. RNAcentral describes it as "partial 16S ribosomal RNA". It matches the Rfam family "Bacterial small subunit ribosomal RNA", at positions 338 to 795 of the family's 1533-position model. The record is from RNAcentral.